UAGGUCUGGCAUGACCUUGGCUAGCUAAUACGCCAGACACCAGGGUCUUCAGUGAGGUUGGCCGCCGCGUGAGGGAGCGAUCCACCGUGACGAAUUGACGCCGCAUCCAUGCUCCGCUCUGCCUCCCUCGCCGGUAAUCCCCCUCCUAGUUGCGGUAUCUAUUGGGGUUGGUAGAAGUUCAUACCGUGCCUGAAUUAGAUUCUUGGAGCCUUGGGAAUUGUUCGCCGGUGUUGGAUUUUUCCGUGGAAUCGCCCCUUCACGUGGCCGGGAUCCCCAUUGCGUGUCGCGGCGAGCGAAUUCCUCCAUGGCGCUCCUAAUCGUAUCCGCAUCGUUUUGCGCUAACUAGGGCAAUGGUUUGUCACUGGGAAAAUGUGGAAUGCGGGUCUCCGGCGUGGCGCGCCGCCAUGGGUGGGCAACGCCGCCGUGCUGGUUCAGCUGAAGGAUGACGACAGCUGGUGGUCGUAGAUUAGCCUGUGUGCGGUUGAGAUUAGAUCCUAGCUACCGGUUUGUCUAAGUCGAUCUGCGGCGUUUGUUUCGGAUCUGGCGAGCGUGAUUCGAUCUGGUUAUUUUAAAUCCGAAUCACCCAUCAGGGAUCCGAGGGCCAGGGUUUCUUGGUGGAUCCAUCUAAUCUACACCGUCGAUUCAUCAUCCUGCGGUACAGAUCCCAUAAUACCCUUUCGCCGAGCCAGCUUUGCUAAAGAGCCCCUCUAAAAUUCUGAAAACAACCCGCCGUCCCUCAAUACUGUGUUCUGAGUCUAGGGUUUAAUUGCGCCGUAGCCCCUGCACUCCCCAGAAAUUGAUGUGCAAUCCAAAAACUUGUAAAUUGGUUAAAUAAUUGUGGAAAUAGAUUUUUAAUACAAAAAUAAUUGCUAGAACUUGUAUAAAUCAUAGAAAAUUCAUAUGAACUCUAAAUUGACCCAUUCUAAUUUCUAUAAUUUUGUAAUAUUAUUGUUUAUCGUUUAGUACCACUGUUUUGACAUGAAUGUUACAAUAAAAUUUAUAACCUAUUUAAUCUUGUACAAAACACAUAAAACCUUCAGAAAAUCCAUAACUUAAAAUCUAUAACUCCAAAAUUAAUGAUUCCUGCUCCUAGGAUCUUAUUUUAAUGUGUAGUUUAUUAUUAAGUAUUUUUUUACAUGUUUGGUGUGAUGUUAAUUUUCUCUAUAUAUUGUGCUUGUUUGUAUUGUGGCGAGUAGAAUAGCCAGUGGCCGAGGAUCCCGGGGCUCAGGAGAUAGAAGUUGCUGAGCAGGAGCUCAUUGAAGGCAAGUUGUGCCCUUGAUCACCUUCAUUUACCCAAUAAUGUUCUUUAUAAUCAUUUAUUCAUGCAUAGGCUUAAUCUUGAUGGGACCCAAUAGGUCACCCUAGUCUGUUUAUCCUUUUUACCUUGUUUACCCCUGAAUCAUUUGGGUAGUUUGCUAUUGCUUUAUUGGUUUUGGGUUAAUAUUUCAUUAUAUUCAUGUUCCAAUUAUUCUAUUAUUUUAUUUAUGUUCAUGUCAAGAUCAUUAUCUUUAAUUGGAACAUGGAGCUUAACUUGAGAAACACGUGCCACCACAAGGGUGGAAUGGGAGCAAAUCUAGUGGAACACUACCUUAGCCGAAAGGGGCAAGGGCAGUAGGGGAGUUGCAUGCAGGGAGGUUUCUCGGGUUGAUUUUGCUGCGAUGGUGGUCAGACGGGGGAUUCUUGCAAGUGCUCUUCCCAUAAACUGUAGCGGGUUUUCAGAAGCUAGUGGAACUUUGUAAAGGCCUCGUUGUGGAUCCCUAGCCAUUCACCUCGGUAGUGUCUAAGGGCCUUGCAAACCCUAGCGACAUGGGAUACACGACUUGUGGGUACAGGGUACAACCUCUGCAGAGUGUAAAACUGGUAUACUAGCCGAGAUUAUGGUCAAGAGCAGCUCAGGACUCUCGCAUGAUUAAACUAUGAAACUAAAUUCAAUUUGUCAUAUGCAUUGCAUGGGAUUAUUUAUUAAUUUUGUUCUAUUAUUUAUUAUGGUUUGGUAUUUACUUACAUUUAGUAAUUACUAAUAAAAUUUGACCAACUUAUUAAAAGCAAUGCUCAGCUUUAACCUCUAUUGUUGAUCAGCCUUACACAUCACAUGAACUCCCACCUUUGGUGAGUUCAUGCCACAUUAUUCCCCACAACUUGUUGAACGAUGAACAUGUGUGAGCUCACCCUUGCUGUCUCACACCCCCCAAAGGAGAAGAACAGGUAAUUCAAGAGGAGCCACACAACGAGGAGUUUGAUCUGAUCUAGGUGGCGUCUCCCAGUUGACUUUAUGGCGCCAAGGAUGGACCUUAUUUCGUUUUAUAUUUAUCUUUUAUUUUGUAAGACUUUCGCAAUGUAAUAAGUACUCUGAUGUUUUGUGAUAUUUAUAUCUAUACACUCUGUUAUUAUUUAUGUUGUCUUCUUUGGCGCAUGUAUGAGAUGCACCCGACUUUGUUCCUUAAAACCGGGUGUGACAGAAGUGGUAUCAGAGGAAAUGUUGACUGUAGGACGAAACCUAGAUAGAAAUGGACAAAACCUUUACCUACUUACCUUACUCUGAUUCAUUCUAUACUUAUCUUGAUCUUGUCUCACCUUUUGUUGUCAUACUCUGAUUACUCUUAUCUUUUCUACUCUAAGACAAGAUGGAUUUCACACCUUGGAAUCCUACAUUUAUGACCUUUUUAAGAGAUAGGAGACCUAAGACAAAAAAUUAAACUAUUUUCUCUAUUUAAAAAUGUUGGUUGAUUGUUCUGAUGAUAAAUGCCUGAUUUUCUUCUUUGAUUGAUUGAGAUAUUAUAAAUGGACAUCUUAGCAUGUACCACCAUAAGGUAAUGAAUUGGCUUUAGUAGGUAAAACACUAAUCUACUUAGCUAAUAAAUCCCCCAAAGUAACAUGAUUUGUAAUUACUUGCCUUGUCUACAAUUCUUUCUUACCAUAUGUUUCUAACUCAGAUGGUCAAUACCAGGAAGGGUGGUGGAAUUGAUCUACCUCCCAAUCGACACACCCGAAUGAUAUUUAG
This 3001-nucleotide long non-coding RNA is filed under the name Zea mays. RNAcentral describes it as "long non-coding RNA (ZMAY_LNC001002)". Lineage: Eukaryota; Viridiplantae; Streptophyta; Magnoliopsida; Poales; Poaceae. The record is from RNAcentral.